This 270-nucleotide ribosomal RNA is filed under the name uncultured bacterium. RNAcentral describes it as "partial 16S ribosomal RNA". It matches the Rfam family "Bacterial small subunit ribosomal RNA", at positions 29 to 274 of the family's 1533-position model. The record is from RNAcentral.
ACGAACGCUGGCGGCGUGCCUCAAACAUGCAAGUCGAGCGGGGUUCUGGAAGUGGGCGACCACGGAAGGGACCUAGCGGCGGACGGGUGAGUAACGCGUGGGUAAUCUGCCCAAGGGACCGGGAUAACACCUCGAAAGGGGUGCUAAUACCGGGUGACCCUGGUGCUCCGAGUGGGGGACCAGGGAUAGGUGGCCUCUUGACAAUGCUACUGCCCCUUGGAUGAGCCCGCGUCCCAUUAGCUAGUUGGCGGGGUAAAGGCCCACCAAGGC